AUGCAAAUGAUGAUUAACUCGGAUUCCCCUUCAAGACUUCUUUGAAUGAUGCAGACCCGAGAUUCUGAUGCG
Lupinus angustifolius (narrow-leaved blue lupine) is the source of this 72-nucleotide non-coding RNA. NCBI's taxonomy places the organism in Eukaryota, Viridiplantae, Streptophyta, Magnoliopsida, Fabales, Fabaceae. The record is from Rfam.